UACAGAGGUCCCAAGCGUUGUUCGGAUUCAUUGGGCGUAAAGGGUGCGUAGGUGGCGCUGUAAGUCAGGUGUGAAAUUUCGGGGCUCAACCCCGAAACUGCACUUGAUACUGCGGUGCUUGAGGACUGGAGAGGAGACUGGAAUUUACGGUGUAGCAGUGAAAUGCGUAGAUAUCGUAAGGAAGACCAGUGGCGAAGGCGGGUCUCUGGACAGUUCCUGACACUGAGGCACGAAGGCCAGGGGAGCAAACGGG
Molecule: ribosomal RNA, 253 nt
Filed under: uncultured bacterium
Lineage: Bacteria
Description: partial 16S ribosomal RNA
Rfam family: Bacterial small subunit ribosomal RNA
Source: RNAcentral